RNAcentral lists this ribosomal RNA (492 nucleotides) under uncultured bacterium. RNAcentral describes it as "partial 16S ribosomal RNA". It matches the Rfam family "Bacterial small subunit ribosomal RNA", at positions 29 to 507 of the family's 1533-position model. The record is from RNAcentral.
AGUGAACGCUGGCGGUAGGCCUAACACAUGCAAGUCGAACGGCAGCACAGUAAGAGCUUGCUCUUACGGGUGGCGAGUGGCGGACGGGUGAGGAAUACAUCGGAAUCUACUUUUUCGUGGGGGAUAACGUAGGGAAACUUACGCUAAUACCGCAUACGACCUACGGGUGAAAGCAGGGGAUCUUCGGACCUUGCGCAAUUGAAUGAGCCGAUGUCGGAUUAGCUAGUUGGCGGGGUAAAGGCCCACCAAGGCGACGAUCCGUAGCUGGUCUGAGAGGAUGAUCAGCCACACUGGAACUGAGACACGGUCCAGACUCCUACGGGAGGCAGCAGUGGGGAAUAUUGGACAAUGGGCGCAAGCCUGAUCCAGCCAUACCGCGUGGGUGAAGAAGGCCUUCGGGUUGUAAAGCCCUUUUGUAGGGAAAGAAAAGCAGCAGGUUAAUACCCCGCUGUUCUGACGGUACCCAAAGAAUAAGCACCGGCUAACUUCGUG